Homarus americanus (American lobster) is the source of this 1317-nucleotide long non-coding RNA. RefSeq lists it as uncharacterized. NCBI's taxonomy places the organism in Eukaryota, Metazoa, Arthropoda, Malacostraca, Decapoda, Nephropidae. The record is from RefSeq and is a predicted model, not a curated record. The transcript has 2 exons.
UUUCUUUCUUUGUAUACACGUACAUUUCGGUGAGCUGGAACCAAUUACCCAAUAUCCCAAUGGAUUCGGUUAACGAACGACCUUCUGGAAAGAAUUGUGUUAGUUAACCGAGGGACCACUGUACUUACAUAAGAAAAAUUUUAUAGCCACUAACAGUGAUAGUAUGGUGUGAAGGACUCGCAAGAAGUUAUUGUAGCUGUGGCUUCACAUGGAUGCAAAGCAACUGGACCUCAGGUAUUUGGAACUACUGAUUGGAAAAUAACAUCAAGGGAAGCCAUAUAAACUACUGGUAAGUAGCAGAGAAGGAAUUGAGAGAUAGUAUACUGUAAUUCUUUCCACCUUAAUUUAUGGCAUUGAAACAUGAGUUGAAAUGGAGCCAAAAGUUCUAAAAUUUAAGCCACAGAGGUAAUGUACCUAAGGGUUGGAGUUACUGUGUUGUCGCGAUAAUCUGGCGGCAAUCUUUAUUACAGAAUCCUCCAAAGACCAGCAUCAUAUUAAAACACCCUAUAAAUUAAGAACACUUGGAGUUUUAUGAAGAAAGUGUGACUAACUAAAGUAUUGGUAAGCAUAAAAUGAUAAAUGAUGCAUGGUAAAAUAGCUAUAAUCCAAUGCUGUAUUAGUGGGCCGAGCACCAUCAAAAUGAAGGUAUUCAUAUAGAUACUGUAGACUAAUGUUUGGUUGAGAAGGCUGGACAGUUUAAUGGACUGAGAAGGCUGGACAGUUUAAUGUCCAUUUGGCAAUAUAAGAGCUGUGUGACUUACACAGUGAAGAUAUUUUUGUGUUCUUUUACCCUGUGUUAGUACGAGUUGGGGUACCGGUAUAUAAAAUAACAUUGGCAAAUUUGGGUAAAAUUAGGCCAACAAUUUUUGCCCAUCUAUAUCACUUAAUUGCAAUAAAAAUGGAAUAAUCUGAAACCUAGCAAUUGCUUACAUCCAAUUACUGUAUCAAGGUUCUUCUGUACUUGAAGAAGUAAGAAGUACAGAAGUAAAAUAUAUGUGGUGUGUGAAAUGGUUUAGAAGAUGUACAGUCAUCCACAAAAGUCCUGUCGCCUCUCGUCUUGAACCAUGAACCUCGAGAUUCAAACUUGUGCAGCCAAAGCAUUUAUGGACAAUAAUGCUUCAGUGUCUACAGCUUCAGAGUCUGAAUCUCAGGGUUCGCAGAACAGCAGGAGAGGCGACAGGACUUUUGUGGGUGACUGUACUAUGGUGCUAAUUGUUGAGUGGUAGAUAAAGUGAAGACAGGUUUGCUGAGAUGCAUGAUCAUGUUAGAAGGAUGCAGAGGUAAUGAAAAAAAAAGGUAUACAGGGGUACUGUAAUG